RNAcentral lists this long non-coding RNA (813 nucleotides) under Hordeum vulgare. RNAcentral's name for it is "long non-coding RNA (HVUL_LNC020200)". The record is from RNAcentral. Lineage: Eukaryota; Viridiplantae; Streptophyta; Magnoliopsida; Poales; Poaceae.
UUCCCUUUAUGUAAUAACGCAGGUAAUGAAAAAUGACUGGUUUAAUCACCUAACCACGCAAUCUUCACUACAAGCCGAGCAAAAUGAUGUAUAUGGUAACCAAUGAUUUUCUCAAGAGGCCCACAGAGAGCAUUGUCGACUUCAGGAUUUUGACUAGUUGAUGGAAGUAACUGCUGAUCCGGUGAUGUGAGAACUCAACUCGUUUCUUUUUUCCUUUUUUGCCUACAGGCCAUGUAGGAAUAGUACCAACUGCCAACUGCAAAUUGGUGGUUUAAUAUUGCCAUCGCUCCGAUUUAAACCCUUGAGCUGUUCCGGAUGACUGGCCAACACGGAUGCUUCCUGCUCAAACAAUGUAUACAGUGAAGUUGAGUUGAUGAUGUCAAAUGAACAGGGUGGCGUGUCCACCAUCUUCAGAGGUAUGAGAGAAUAGGAGUUAAGUUGAUCAGGACGUCGUGAGUUGGUAUUGUGCUUGUGAAUGGGACAACUUAAGAAGUGAAAACCAAAUGUGGAGUAAGUAGCCCAUGCGCAGACAGUGGUAGCUGGACCAAAUCAGCACUGCGAGCGUGUUCAUCUCCAAAGGAAGAAGAACAUAACUCAGUGGGAUAAGUAAAGAAAGAAGGAUGGCUUAAGAAAGUGCGCCCGGUUUUGUAACGUAGCCAGCCGAAAUGCUCCAUGCCUGGAUUACGUGUGUGCACGCCCAUGUUUGUUUGUGAAGCGUGUAAGGAACAACUGCUAACUAAACAACGGGUCGCAGGGGACAAAGCAUAGGGUUAUUGGCCGGCAACAUGAUCCUGGUGGCGGAUGAUUAUAUGC